GUGCUCGCUUCGGCAGCAUAUAUACUAAAAUUGGAACGAUAUAGAGAAGAUUAGCAUGGCCCCUGCGCAAGGAUGACACACAAAUUCGUGAAGCAUUUAAAAAAAAA
This is a small nuclear RNA of Mus spicilegus (steppe mouse), 107 nucleotides long. Lineage: Eukaryota; Metazoa; Chordata; Mammalia; Rodentia; Muridae. The record is from Ensembl.